GGGGUUGUGGCUCAGUGGUAGAGCACUUGCCUUGCAAGUGUGAGGGUUUGAUUCUCAGCACCA
Molecule: transfer RNA, 63 nt
Filed under: Urocitellus parryii (Arctic ground squirrel)
Lineage: Eukaryota; Metazoa; Chordata; Mammalia; Rodentia; Sciuridae
Also listed under: 2 other names
Description: Spermophilus parryii (Arctic ground squirrel) tRNA
Rfam family: tRNA
About the family: Transfer RNA (tRNA) molecules are approximately 80 nucleotides in length. Their secondary structure includes four short double-helical elements and three loops (D, anti-codon, and T loops). Further hydrogen bonds mediate the characteristic L-shaped molecular structure. tRNAs have two regions of fundamental functional importance: the anti-codon, which is responsible for specific mRNA codon recognition, and the 3' end, to which the tRNAs corresponding amino acid is attached (by aminoacyl-tRNA synthetases). tRNAs cope with the degeneracy of the genetic code in two manners: having more than one tRNA (with a specific anti-codon) for a particular amino acid; and 'wobble' base-pairing, i.e. permitting non-standard base-pairing at the 3rd anti-codon position.
Source: Rfam by way of RNAcentral